Molecule: ribosomal RNA, 754 nt
Filed under: bacterium
Lineage: Bacteria
Description: bacterial SSU rRNA
Rfam family: Bacterial small subunit ribosomal RNA
Source: RNAcentral
GGCAGUAACGGCAUGCUACACAUGCAGUCGAACGGCAGCACAGCAGUAGCAAUACUGUGGGUGGCGAGUGGCGGACGGGUGAGUAAUGCAUCGGGACCUGCCCAGACGUGGGGGAUAACGUAGGGAAACUUACGCUAAUACCGCAUACGUCCUACGGGAGAAAGCGGGGGAUCGAAAGACCUCGCGCGGUUGGAUGGACCGAUGUUCGAUUAGCUAGUUGGUGAGGUAAUGGCUCACCAAGGCGACGAUCGAUAGCUGGUCUGAGAGGAUGAUCAGCCACACUGGGACUGAGACACGGCCCAGACUCCUACGGGAGGCAGCAGUGGGGAAUAUUGGACAAUGGGCGCAAGCCUGAUCCAGCAAUGCCGCGUGUGUGAAGAAGGCCUUCGGGUUGUAAAGCACUUUUAUCAGGAGCGAAAUACCACGGGUUAAUACCCUAUGGGGCUGACGGUACCUGAGGAAUAAGCACCGGCUAACUUCGUGCCAGCAGCCGCGGUAAUACGAAGGGUGCAAGCGUUAAUCGGAAUUACUGGGCGUAAAGCGUGCGUAGGCGGUUUGUUAAGUCUGUUGUGAAAUCCCCGGGCUCAACCUGGGAAUGGCAAUGGAUACUGGCAAGCUAGAGUGUGAUAGAGGAUGGUGGAAUUCCCGGUGUAGCGGUGAAAUGCGUAGAGAUCGGGAGGAACAUCAGUGGCGAAGGCGGCCAUCUGGAUCAACACUGACGCUGAGGCACGAAAGCGUGGGGAGCAACAGUAAA